This 253-nucleotide ribosomal RNA is filed under the name uncultured bacterium. RNAcentral describes it as "partial 16S ribosomal RNA". It matches the Rfam family "Bacterial small subunit ribosomal RNA", at positions 524 to 776 of the family's 1533-position model. The record is from RNAcentral.
GACGGAGGGGGCAAGCGUUGUCCGGACUCACUGGGCGUAAAGGGUGCGCAGGCGGCAGAGCGCGUCCGCGCUGAAAUCUGUUGGCUUAACUGACAGGCGCGUGCGGAUACGGCUCAGCUCGAGGCACGGAGAGGGUGGGGGAACUCCUGGUGUAGUGGUGAAAUGCGUAGAGAUCAGGAAGAACACCCGUGGCGCAAGCGCCCACCUGGCCGUGACCUGACGCUGAGGCACGAAAGCGUGGGGAGCGAACCGG